RNAcentral lists this long non-coding RNA (807 nucleotides) under Solanum tuberosum (potato). RNAcentral describes it as "long non-coding RNA (STUB_LNC002582)". Lineage: Eukaryota; Viridiplantae; Streptophyta; Magnoliopsida; Solanales; Solanaceae. The record is from RNAcentral.
AUGUUCAACUUUAUGAGUCCAUUAAACAGUUUUUGGUCACAAAUCAGCCACACCACUUCAUUUGCAAAAAAAAGUCAAGUAUCUUGGGGAGAAAUACAAGAACACUUUAAAGAGCACCAGAACUCUGACCAUCCCACAUGAGGAAGAGUUCUUCUACCAGGACUUAGUGUUAACAACUAUCAGCAGGAAUCAGUCUAAUCCACUGCAAGUAGCUCUUCAACAAUACAAGUUAGUUUCUCAAAGUUUGAAUACUAGGAAGAGUUAUGUCAACCAAAUAUUCCGGCCGUGGGUAACCCAAAAAAGGUAAUAUAUAUCAUCUUUUUCAUUUUCUUAUCAACGUCAAUUAAUAUACUAAUGUGAUGGUUUACUAGUUUGUUUUAAAGAUUGCCUAGACUUGUGUCAUGGUUGCAUAUUAAUUAUUCAAAUAUAAAUUAUUGCUGGCAACCAAUUAUUCUACUUGUGGUAACACGCUUUCCGCAUCUUAAGGAUUUUUAAUACAUGUGUAAAGAUUUUUACGCUUCUCAUGUAAUUAAAUUCCUCUCUUUAGCUUAAAAAUUAAGUUGUGUAUCUGAGUACUGUUGUUGAACUUCACUAUCUAUGCAAUUUUAUGAUUCAUAUUUUGCUAUGCUGAACUCCUUUGUCUUGGUACCUUCCAAGUGCGUCUAUUUUUUUUUCUUAUGAAUAACUUUUAUACAAGGAGGAACUUUCUGAACUAGAGGAACAAAAGAUAGCAAGGAGCUAUUUCGACACAAAGAUACAACAUGCACAAUUGGUUUCAGAUGCCUAUAAUGCUAGCCAUGGUUUUGG